Rhipicephalus sanguineus (brown dog tick) is the source of this 74-nucleotide non-coding RNA. The record is from the annotation of a RefSeq genome assembly. Lineage: Eukaryota; Metazoa; Arthropoda; Arachnida; Ixodida; Ixodidae.
GCCGCUGUAGCUCAAUUGGUAAGAGAAUCGGACGGCUAAUCCGAAGAUCGCAGGUUCGGUCCCUGCCGGCGGCA